This 887-nucleotide ribosomal RNA is filed under the name uncultured bacterium. RNAcentral describes it as "bacterial SSU rRNA". It matches the Rfam family "Bacterial small subunit ribosomal RNA", at positions 530 to 1425 of the family's 1533-position model. The record is from RNAcentral.
GGGUGCGAGCGUUAUCGAAUUACUGAGCGUAAAGCGUGCGCAGGCGGUUCGGAAGAAAAGAUGUGAAAUCCCAGAGCUCAACCUUGAACUGCAUUUUUAACUCCCGGACUAGAGUAUGUCAGAGGGAGGUGGAACUCCACGUGUAGCAGUGAAAUGCGUAGAUAUGUGGAGGAACACCGAUGGCGAAGGCAGCCCCCUGGGAUAAUACUGACGCUCAUGCACGAAAGCGUGAGGAGCAAACAGGAUUAGAUACCCUGGUAGUCCACGCCCUAAACGAUGUCAACUAGCUGUCGGGACCUUCGGGUUUUGGUAGCGCAGCUAACGCGUGAAGUUGACCGCCUGGGGAGUACGGUCGCAAGAUUAAAACUCAAAGGAAUUGACGGGGACCCGCACAAGCGGUGGAUGAUGUGGAUUAAUUCGAUGCAACGCGAAAAACCUUACCUACCCUUGACAUGUCUGGAAUCCCGAAGAGAUUUGGGAGUGCUCGAAAGAGAACCGGAACACAGGUGCUGCAUGGCCGUCGUCAGCUCGUGUCGUGAGAUGUUGGGUUAAGUCCCGCAACGAGCGCAACCCUUGUCAUUAGUUGCUACGAAAGGGCACUCUAAUGAGACUGCCGGUGACAAACCGGAGGAAGGUGGGGAUGACGUCAGGUCCUCAUGGCCCUUAUGGGUAGGGCUUCACACGUCAUACAAUGGUCGGGACAGAGGGCAGCCAACCCGCGAGGGGGAGCCAAUCCCAGAAACCCGAUCGUAGUCCGGAUUGCAGUCUGCAACUCGACUGCAUGAAGUCGGAAUCGCUAGUAAUCGCGGAUCAGCAUGUCGCGGUGAAUACGUUCCCGGGUCUUGUACACACCGCCCGUCACACCAUGGGAGUGGGUUCUACCAGAA